CCUGACGACCAUAGCGAGCGUGAACCACCUGAUCCCUUGCCGAACUCAGUAGUGAAACCGCUUAGCGCCGAUGGUAGUGUGGGGUCUCCCCAUGC
RNAcentral lists this ribosomal RNA (95 nucleotides) under Halomonas citrativorans. The record is from RNAcentral. Lineage: Bacteria; Pseudomonadati; Pseudomonadota; Gammaproteobacteria; Oceanospirillales; Halomonadaceae.